This 253-nucleotide ribosomal RNA is filed under the name uncultured bacterium. RNAcentral describes it as "partial 16S ribosomal RNA". It matches the Rfam family "Bacterial small subunit ribosomal RNA", at positions 524 to 776 of the family's 1533-position model. The record is from RNAcentral.
UACGAAGGGGGCUAGCGUUGCUCGGAAUCACUGGGCGUAAAGCGCACGUAGGCGGAUUGCUAAGUCAGGGGUGAAAUCCCAAGGCUCAACCUUGGAACUGCCUUUGAUACUGGGGAUCUCGAGUCCGGAAGAGGUUGGUGGAACUGCGAGUGUAGAGGUGAAAUUCGUAGAUAUUCGCAAGAACACCAGUGGCGAAGGCGGCCAACUGGUCCGGUACUGACGCUGAGGCACGAAAGCGUGGGGAGCAAACAGG